AUUGAACGCUGGCGGCAGGCUUAACACAUGCAAGUCGAGCGGAGAUGAGGUGCUUGCACCUUAUCUUAGCGGCGGACGGGUGAGUAAUGCUUAGGAAUCUGCCUAUUAGUGGGGGACAACAUUCCGAAAGGAAUGCUAAUACCGCAUACGUCCUACGGGAGAAAGCAGGCGAUCUUCGGACCUUGCGCUAAUAGAUGAGCCUAAGUCGGAUUAGCUAGUUGGUGGGGUAAAGGCCUACCAAGGCGACUAUCUGUAGCGGGUCUGAAAGGAUGAUCCGCCACACUGGGACUGAGACACGGCCCAUACUCCUACGGGAGGCAGCAGUGGGGAAUAUUGGACAAUGGGGGGAACCCUGAUCCAGCCAUGCCGCGUGUGUGAAGAAGGCCUUAUGGUUGUAAAGCACUUUAAGCGAGGAGGAGGCUACUGAGACUAAUACUCUUGGAUAGUGGACGUUACUCACAGAAUAAGUACCGGCUAACUCUGUGCCAGCAGCCGCGGUAAUACAGAGGGUGCGAGCGUUA
RNAcentral lists this ribosomal RNA (521 nucleotides) under uncultured bacterium. RNAcentral describes it as "bacterial SSU rRNA". It matches the Rfam family "Bacterial small subunit ribosomal RNA", at positions 30 to 543 of the family's 1533-position model. The record is from RNAcentral.